This is a long non-coding RNA of Triticum aestivum (bread wheat), 1793 nucleotides long. RefSeq lists it as uncharacterized. The record is from RefSeq and is a predicted model, not a curated record. NCBI's taxonomy places the organism in Eukaryota, Viridiplantae, Streptophyta, Magnoliopsida, Poales, Poaceae. The transcript has 3 exons.
UACUGCCUUUGUUUUGGCUUGGGAGGGGACGAAGAGUCAAAAUCCCUAAACAGUUGUCCCCAUCUCCCUAGUUGCAUCCCGCCGCCUCCUCUGCGUCCGGCGCCGCCGCACCCCAUCUUGUGCUUGACCCCAAUCCCGUCGCUGCCGCCCCACGCCUCUAGCGCCGUGUCCAUCCCCAUGGAGGGCCGCUCCCUUGCCGUCCAGCCACUCCUACGACGCCUCCCUCUCGUCGAGGGGCGCCUCCCUCACCGUCCAGCGCCGCCCCCUCGCCGUCCAGCGGCUCCAGUGCCGCCUCCAUCCCGAUCGACGGGCGUCUCCCUCGCCGUCCAGCCACCCCAGCGCCGCCUCUCUCCCCGUUGACUGGGUCCUCCCUCGCCGUCCAGGUCUGCUUCCCUCGCCGUCUAGAUGUGAUUCCCACACCGGCCAGCCGCCUCACCCUUCUGUCUCCCUCCCAGUCCAGCUCCUCCCACUACCGAGUCAAGUCUUGGCGAACUACAACCGACCUGAGGAGAGGAAGACCCAAAAAAAGAAAUCUGAGAGAAACAUAAAUUGGAAACUAGAGGAGUUCUGGGCAACUUUAUUAGUCUGAAUCCCUAGCUGAGGGUUCAGCAGUAGCCGUAAUGGUUGCUACAUUACCUUCUCUGGGCAACUUUAUUACAUUUGUGAUUUCUGAAGUAGACUACAUAACCGAGUUGCUCUGUUCCUCCCGUACCAGGGUCCGAGGCUAGCAUGUCAACUACCACGGCAAGGAAGGAGGCAACUUUCCCGCUACAUUCAUCCUCUGCAGUUUGAAACUCUGAAUGUAAUACACAUGCAACAAGCCUUAUUACCAAGAAACACGUGGAAUGUGAGGCGGCGGCGAAGCAUUAGCUAGCGCGGGUGCGUCACCUCUGUGGUAUUGUGGGCAAUCAUGGUUUUGGCAAGCUCACUGGAAUCAAGUGAGGUGAGAAUAUCGAUCUUCCAGACACCUAUUUCUUCUUGCAAAUUUAGAAAAGGGAGGUUGAGACAUCAUUUCCAUUUCCCUAUUUCUCUAAUCUAUAGGGCAGUGAGAUAACGAUGAAUGUGGCAGCGAGAAAUGAUGGUUCUCCUGAUCUUCCUUUCUGUGGUAUCUUCUAAGGCAUCCCUGAUAUGUCUCUUUUUGGUUCUUAAAAUUUUCUUGCUAUGAAUAGUUCAUCUCCUAAAUAUAUCUUAAUUGUGUUUGUCUCUAGGAGCGCGACAUCGUAACCCAGACAAGUUCUUUCCAGAUUUAGAUAUAGCUCAACAUUAAAAUCGCAACUUCGUGAGAUUCUAAACCUGAAGGGAGAGCACUACAUAGCGUUCCUUUUUGAUAGUUCUCUUUGUCAUAUCUCAUUUGAUAGCUACAUCUAUGCCGGUGCUAAAUGCUUUUUACUUGGUUGCACUGCUGAAAUUGAGCUGAAUUACACUUCUACAACUUUGUAGCUAUAUGUGAGCCUCCCACUAAUUUUUUGACAGUUGCUUCGUUAGGUACACUCAUCAUUCAUGGUUUUUUAUUACCGUUUCUUAGCAUACAUGAUAUGCUUACCAACAGGUUUGUGGUACUACUGUCUUCGAACAUUUCAAAGCUUAAGACAUGGCAAACUGAUGAGUUGGAAAACUUUAUGAUGCUAUCACCAUAAUAGGUCCAUGUACUAAAACCCAGUGUAUAUAUAAUAGGUAUUUCCUGUUGACAAGUUAUUUUCUUUGUGAUUAUUAGGUUCCAAACCUGCUGUUUGAUGUUGCUGGUAUUAUGUUUGGUCAAUGGUAUACCUUCUGGGAGUUCUUCUGUGAAACUC